ACCUGUUCGGCCCCAGACACGGACCGUAACUGUUUCGCGUUAUUCGUGCAGCCUCCUCUGUCACAACUCCAAUUAAUAUUGUCUGCCGCAUUCCACCACGCCUUCCCAGCUCUUAAUGAGAAUAAAGUGGUCCAAAGGUGACUGGUGGGGACAUUGGGAUGUGAAUGGGCCACGUGCGCAAUGUAUCCAUACUUCCACAUUCCAUUUUGUCCAAAUGGAUACAAAAUGUAUCGAGUACUCACUGGCAGCGAGAUACAGCCGAAAUCGCGCUGUUGUCUUUGAUCGCUUCCUUCCCCUCCGGUUGAAGCUGAAUUGCGACUGAACGACGGCGUCACAGCUCCGCUGAGAGAGGAAUGGAUUCCAAUUAAAAUGGGGAGGGAAUACAAAACCAGCGAGCUGCGUUCAGAGAAAGCUUGAGUCACUGUGGCAACAGGCUGCGGACAUCCGCUCCGCCCUCCGUCUGUCGCCACCCCCCUGGAAAUCGCGCUCUGUGCAGGGAGUGAGUGACGGCGGUGUCUCCUCCUCCAAGCACUGGCCAGAUCACACAAGAAAAGCUUCUCUCCGAACAAGACGGAGGGUUCAAAUACAGAACAAUUCUGGAUAGUGCAUGUAAGAGGGAGACCGGAAACCAAGCUGAUUAAAGAUUCAGAUCACUUAUUAUUGGAAAUAUUUGUAUAUUUACAGCUGUAAAUUGUGCAUGAGAUUAGAAUAUUCCCUCCCAAGUAUGUAUUUUCCAUAGGCGGGCGUGAGUUUACAUCAUAUUCCACAGUUCAAAUGCGGCGAAAGGAUUAGUCAAUUAUACCCCAGGAGUCAAGAUUGAAAAUUGUUUAUUGUCAUCCUUCAGCACACGAGUAUAAAAGAGAACGAAGUGAUUGUUACUCCGGAUCCGAUGCAGCAUAAAAAUAUACAGGUUAGAAAGUUUACCCAACCUUGACCAUUGUGGUUAAGACCAUAAGACAUGGGAGAAGAAUUAGGCCAUUCAGCCCAUCAAGUCUGCUCUGCUAUUCCAUCAUGGCUGAUCCCAGAUCCCACUCAGCCUUCUUGUCAUAUUCUUUGAUGCCCUGACCAAUCAAAAAAUGAUCAACUUCCACUUUGGCCUCGGCCUCCACCACAGACUGUGGCAGAGCAUUCUACAGAUUCACUAUUCGCUGGCUAAAAAAAUACUCCUUACCUCUGUUCCAAAAAGUCAUCCCUCAGUUUUGAGGCUGUGCCCUCUAGUUCUGGAUACCUUCACCAUAGGAAACAUCCUCUCCACAUCCAUUCUAUCUAGUCCUUUCCAGAUUCAGUAGGUUUCAAUGAGAUCCACCGCCCCCCGCCCCCCCCCCCCGGCAUUCUUCUAAAUUCCAGUGAGUACAGGCCCAAAGCUGCCAAACAUUCCCCACAUUACCCCUUCUCUCUCAGAAUCAUCCUCGUGAACCUCCUCUGGACUCUCUCCAAUGACAACACAUCCUUUCUGAGAUAAGAGGCCCCAAACUGUUGACAAUACUCCAAGUGCAGCCUGAUAAGUAUCUUAUAAAGCCUCAGCAUUAUCUUCUUCUGACUAUAUUCUAUUCCCCUUGAAAUAAAUGCCAACAUUGCAUUUGCCUUCUUUACCACAGACUCAACCUGUAAAUUAAUCUUGUGGGAGUCUUGCACGAGGACUCCUAAGUCCCUCUGCACAUCUGAACCUUCUCCCCAUUUAGAUAAUAGUCUGCACUAUUGUUCCUUUUACCAAAGUGCAUUAUCAUACAUUUCCCAACACUAUAUUCCACCUGCCACUUCUUUGCCCAUUCUUUCUAUUUGUCUAACUCCUGCUGUAAUCGCAUUGCUUCCUCAGCACUACCUACUCCUCUGCCUAUCUUUGUAUCAUCCGCAAACUCUGCCACAAAGCCAUCAAUUCCAUUAUCCAAAUCAUUGACAAACAAUGUGAAAAGUUUUGGUCCCAAUACUGACCUCUGAGAAACAUCACUGGCAGCCAACCAGAAAAGUCCCUUUUGAUUUCCACUCGCUGCCUCCUGCCUGUCAGCCACUCCUCUAUCCAUGCCAGUAUCUUUCUUGUAACACCAUAGGAUUUUAUCUUGUUAAGCAGCCUCUUGUGUGGCACCUUAUCAAAUACCUUCUGAAAAUCUAAGUAAAUGACAUUCACUGCCUCUCCUUUGUCCAUCCUGCUCGUUACUUCCUUGAAGAACUUUAACAGAUUUGUCAGGCAAGAUUCCCCUUCACAGAAACCAUGCUGACUUUGACUUAUUUUAUCAUUCGUCUCCAAGUACCCUGAAACCUCAUCCUUAAUAAUCGACUCCAACACUUUCCCAACCACUGGAGUUAGGCUAACGAGCCUAUAAUUUACUUUCUUUUGCUUCAUCCCUUCUUAAAGAGUAACAUUUGCAAUCUUCCAGUCCUCUGAGAUCAUGCCAGAAUUCAAGUGAUUGUUGAAAGAUCAUGACCAAUGUAUCUGUUAUCUCUUCAGCAACCUCUUUCAGAACUCAGGUGUGUAUUCCUCCUGGUCCAGGUGACUUAUCCACCUUAAGUCCUUUGAUAUUGUCUAGCACUUUUUCCUUUGUAAUAGCAAUAGCACUUACUCCUGAUCCCUGACACUCUCAAGCUUCUGGCACACUUCUGGUGUCUUCCACAGUGAAGACAGAUGCGAAGUACCCAUUUAGUUCAUCUUCCAUUUCUUUGUCCCCCAUUACUACCUCACUAGACAUGAGGAAAUCAGCAGAUGCUGGAAAUUCAAACAACACACACAAAAUCCUGGUGGAAUGCAGCAGGCCAGGCAGCAUCUAUAGGAAGAAGUA
Long non-coding RNA from Hypanus sabinus (Atlantic stingray), 2774 nucleotides. RefSeq lists it as uncharacterized. NCBI's taxonomy places the organism in Eukaryota, Metazoa, Chordata, Chondrichthyes, Myliobatiformes, Dasyatidae. The record is from RefSeq and is a predicted model, not a curated record. The transcript has 3 exons.